RNAcentral lists this ribosomal RNA (301 nucleotides) under uncultured bacterium. RNAcentral describes it as "partial 16S ribosomal RNA". It matches the Rfam family "Bacterial small subunit ribosomal RNA", at positions 509 to 809 of the family's 1533-position model. The record is from RNAcentral.
CAGUCGCCGCGGUAAUACGUAGGUGGCAAGCGUUGUCCGGAAUUAUUGGGCGUAAAGGGCUCGCAGGCGGUUUCUUAAGUCUGAUGUGAAAGCCCCCGGCUCAACCGGGGAGGGUCAUUGGAAACUGGGAAACUUGAGUGCAGAAGAGGAGAGUGGAAUUCCACGUGUAGCGGUGAAAUGCGUAGAGAUGUGGAGGAACACCAGUGGCGAAGGCGACUCUCUGGUCUGUAACUGACGCUGAGGAGCGAAAGCGUGGGGAGCGAACAGGAUUAGAUACCCGGGUAGUCCCUGUCUCUUAUAA